Molecule: long non-coding RNA, 1125 nt
Organism: Phyllopteryx taeniolatus (common seadragon)
Lineage: Eukaryota; Metazoa; Chordata; Actinopteri; Syngnathiformes; Syngnathidae
Exons: 4
Source: RefSeq, a predicted model, not a curated record
CAAGUCAUUUGUUCAGCUCAAUGUUUAAUUUGCACAUUCUUCCUAAUGCAGGCUGUCAUAUGGAGAAAAGCCGUACCACUUUUCGAUGAUGGCUUCAAACCUAAAUCACAACAAUACCAAAACUCAAAGUGAAGAGGCUUCUAAGAAUAACCUGACUGGUCACAUGAUGAGCUUCAGUUCCCAUGACUGCUGUGAGUCAUGCUUGGGACAGGGGCACGCUGGCUUGUUCCACCUGUGGCAAGGACAAGAAGCUGGCAACAGCUGUGGAUGUUGAGCAGACCUACAAGUGGCUGGAAGAUGGCCAGUGAUACAGGUUCCAGUGACCACAUGUUUGGCUGCAGUGGCAAGCGCUGUCAUAUGGAGAAAAGCCGAACCACUUUUCGAUGAUGGCUUCAAACCUAAAUCGCAGCAAUACCAAAACUCAAAAUGAAGAGCCUUCUAAGAAUAACCUGACUGGUCACAUGAUGAGCUUCAGUUCCCAUGACUGCUGUGAGUCAUGCUUGGGACAGGGGCACGCUGGCUUGUUCCACCUGUGGCAAGGACAAGAAGCUGGCAACAGCUGUGGAUGUUGAGCAGGCCUACAAAGUGGUUGGAAGAUGGCCAGUGAUACAGCUUCCAGUGACCACAUGUUUGGCUGCAGUGGCAAGAGUGAGCUUUAAGGAGGCUGGCUGUCAUAAUGUUACUAUGCCUGAUGAACAAGCUGCCAACACCACUCUGUGUAAAUGCUAUUUAAGUGAGAAAAUACACUGACACAUAGUCACCUUGUUAGCAAAAAAUUUUUUCACAGAGGUACAGUGGAAAGUGGAAACUAAAGUUGAGACAGUCGUACAAAUCAGAGUUCAAGAAAAUAGUUCUGAUCUCAGAUGAGACCUCUGCAAUUUUCACGAGACUUCAACUUGGUGACAUCUAAUGGGUACACUUCACAAGUCUGUUUAGCUUUCCAUGUUUUGGUUGACACCGCCAAAGAAAAGUACCAAAGGUGUCAAAGAAGAAAAAUGUGAUGAUGACCAUAGAAACUAAAAUGGAAUUCAUUGGUUAUUGGAAGUGGUACAUACACACAUCUCUGUUCUGGCUGCUCUGUCGAAUAUGUAAACAAAAAGUUUUAAGAGAAAGAACUUAAAGGAG